Long non-coding RNA from Dalotia coriaria, 526 nucleotides. RefSeq lists it as uncharacterized. The record is from RefSeq and is a predicted model, not a curated record. The transcript has 6 exons. Lineage: Eukaryota; Metazoa; Arthropoda; Insecta; Coleoptera; Staphylinidae.
CCUAAAUAACUUUUAUGAUUAUCGUACAAAUUGACCCCCAAAAUUGCAUUUUUAUGUUCGAAGGACUAAUUUUUGCUUGUUUUAGGGAUUUUGCACCUGAGUCUGACAUCGUAGAAGGACCAUUCUGGUAUCAGAUUGACUAAUUUUUGCUUGUUUUAGGGAUUUUGCACCUGAGUCUGACAUCGUAGAAGGACCAUUCUGGUAUCAGAUUGGAUUUUGCACCUGAGUCUGACAUCGUAGAAGGACCAUUCUGGUAUCAGAUUGGAUUUUGCACCUGAGUCUGACAUCGUAGAAGGACCAUUCUUGCAUCAGAUUGGAUUUUGCACCUGAGUCUGACAUCGUAGAAGGACCAUUCUGGUAUCAGAUUGGAUUUUGCACCUGAGUCUGACAUCGUAGAAGGACCAUUCUUGCAUCAGAUUGUUAGUAUUAAAUUUCAUUAUCUUAAAUAACUUUUGUGAUUAUUACACAAAUUGACUCCCAAAAUUUAUGCUUGUGUGUUUUCUUUAAUAAAGAAUAUUUUUAAGUU